This 298-nucleotide unclassified non-coding RNA is filed under the name Hevea brasiliensis (rubber tree). Lineage: Eukaryota; Viridiplantae; Streptophyta; Magnoliopsida; Malpighiales; Euphorbiaceae. The record is from RNAcentral.
GCCAUUUGAAGUGUUAACGAUGAUCUAAUCAACUUCGAGGUGGAUACACCCGUAAACAACUCUUUAACAUCAUCAAAAUUGAGUACUUUUUUCUCAGGAUUGACUAAUAUUUGGUCCGUAGGUUGUAACGUCGGUAUUGUUACGUUCGUAGAACCAUAGUUGCCGGUGAAAUUCAUAGGUGGGACAGUCGGAGCUGUGUUUAGACAUCGAGCGAAUCGUCGGAGGUCACGAAAAACCUUUGGACAUACGACUUUGUUUGCCAUGAAAUUGAAAUGAAAAUUAACAAAAUAUGAAUUCU